RNAcentral lists this ribosomal RNA (445 nucleotides) under Parvimonas micra. RNAcentral's name for it is "bacterial SSU rRNA". It matches the Rfam family "Bacterial small subunit ribosomal RNA", at positions 28 to 456 of the family's 1533-position model. Lineage: Bacteria; Bacillati; Bacillota; Tissierellia; Tissierellales; Peptoniphilaceae. The record is from RNAcentral.
GACGAACGCUGGCGGCGUGCUUAACACAUGCAAGUCGAACGUGAUUUUUGUGGAAAUUCUUUCGGGAAUGGAAAUGAAAUGAAAGUGGCGAACGGGUGAGUAACACGUGAGCAACCUACCUUACACAGGGGGAUAGCCGUUGGAAACGACGAUUAAUACCGCAUGAGACCACAGAAUCGCAUGAUAUAGGGGUCAAAGAUUUAUCGGUGUAAGAAGGGCUCGCGUCUGAUUAGCUAGUUGGAAGGGUAAAGGCCUACCAAGGCGACGAUCAGUAGCCGGUCUGAGAGGAUGAACGGCCACAUUGGAACUGAGACACGGUCCAAACUCCUACGGGAGGCAGCAGUGGGGAAUAUUGCACAAUGGGGGGAACCCUGAUGCAGCGACGCCGCGUGAGCGAAGAAGGUUUUCGAAUCGUAAAGCUCUGUCCUAUGAGAAGAUAAUGACU